This 506-nucleotide ribosomal RNA is filed under the name uncultured bacterium. RNAcentral's name for it is "partial 16S ribosomal RNA". It matches the Rfam family "Bacterial small subunit ribosomal RNA", at positions 30 to 523 of the family's 1533-position model. The record is from RNAcentral.
AUUGAACGCUGGCGGCAGGCCUAACACAUGCAAGUCGAACGGUAACAGGAAGAAGCUUGCUUCUUUACUGACGAGUGGCGGACGGGUGAGUAAUGUCUGGGAAACUGCCUGAUGGAGGGGGAUAACUACUGGAAACGGUAGCUAAUACCGCAUAACGUCGCAAGACCAAAGAGGGGGACCUUCGGGCCUCUUGCCAUCGGAUUUGCCCAGAUGGGAUUAGCUAGUUGGUGGGGUAACGGCUCACCAAGGAGACGAUCCCUAGCUGGUCUGAGAGGAUGACCAGCCACACUGGAACUGAGAAAAGGUCCAGACUCCUACGGGAGGCAGCAGUGGGGAAUAUUGCGCAAUGGGCGCAAGCCUGAUGCAGCGAUGCCGCGUGUAUGAAGAAGGCCUUCGGGUUGUAAAGUACUUUCAGCGGGGAGGAAGGGAGUAAAGUUAAUACCUUUGCUCAUUGACGUUACCCGCAGAAGAAGCACCGGCUAACUCCGUGCCAGCCGCCGCAGUAA